RNAcentral lists this ribosomal RNA (198 nucleotides) under uncultured bacterium. RNAcentral's name for it is "partial 16S ribosomal RNA". It matches the Rfam family "Bacterial small subunit ribosomal RNA", at positions 328 to 539 of the family's 1533-position model. The record is from RNAcentral.
ACGCUCGACACCUACGGGGGGCAGCAGUGGGGAAUAUUGCACAAUGGGGGAAACCCUGAUGCAGCGACGCCGCGUGAAGGAAGAAGUAUCUCGGUAUGUAAACUUCUAUCAGCAGGGAAGAAAGUGACGGUACCUGACUAAGAAGCCCCGGCUAACUACGUGCCUGCAGCCGCGGUAAUCUGAGCGGGCUGGCAAGGC